UGGGUAACCCAAGCCUCGGCAGGUACAGUUCCUCCCUCAGGGCCCAGGACACAGAGAGCAUACAAUAGACAUUAGCUGCUGUGGUCUCUUGAUUUCAAGCCCAGUGCAGAUGCAUCUGACUUAUGAAACUUCAGUGACACCUGCUCUGUGCCAGACACCGAAGAUGGAGCAGUGAACAGCGCUGACCCAGCCUGUCCUCCUGUUGCCUGCAGGCCAGAUGCUGUUCCAUUGUUUGCUGACUUGCAUCGUUUCUAUGAGAAGUCUGCAGUCUUUUGCAGCAUUGUUUUCCUAUGUAUGCUUGUCUCCUCCCACCCCACUCACCCCAGCUGCUUUCCACAUUCUCUCUCUUUAAUUUUCAGCAGUCUGCCCAUGAUGUGCCUAAAUAGGACUUUCUUUGCAUUCAUCCUGGCUGGGGCUCACUGAACUUUCUGAAUCUGUAGAUUAAUUUUCUUUUUUCAAUAAACCUUGGAAU
RNAcentral lists this long non-coding RNA (472 nucleotides) under Pongo abelii (Sumatran orangutan). RNAcentral describes it as "lincRNA". The record is from RNAcentral. Lineage: Eukaryota; Metazoa; Chordata; Mammalia; Primates; Hominidae.